GAUGAACGCUGGCGGCGUGCCUAAUACAUGCAAGUCGAACGGGGAGUAGCAAUACUCUUAGUGGCGAACGGGUGAGUAACGCGUUGGUACCUGCCCCGAAGCGGGGGAUAACGGACCGAAAGGUCCGCUAAUACCCCAUGUGCUCGGUAACGAGUAAAGGUGAAAACCACUUUGGGAGGGGCAUGCGUCCCAUCAGCUAGUUGGUAAGGUAACGGCUUACCAAGGCGAUGACGGGUAGGGGACCUGAGAGGGUGGCCCCCCACAAUGGAACUGAAACACGGUCCAUACACCUACGGGUGGCAGCAGUAGGGAAUAUUGGUAAUGGGCGCAAGCCUGAACCAGCAACGCCGCGUGUGCGAGGACGGCCUUCGGGUUGUAAAGCACUUUUGACUGGGACGAGGAAGGACGGUACCGGUCGAAUCAGCCUCGGCUAACUACGUG
Molecule: ribosomal RNA, 441 nt
Filed under: uncultured bacterium
Lineage: Bacteria
Description: partial 16S ribosomal RNA
Rfam family: Bacterial small subunit ribosomal RNA
Source: RNAcentral